GAGCCAGACUCCUACGGGAGGCAGCAGUGGGGAAUAUUGCACAAUGGGGGAAGCCCUGAUGCAGCGACGCCGCGUGAGCGAUGAAGUCUUUCGGUAUGUAAAGCUCUAUCAGCAGGGAAGAAAAUGACGGUACCUGACUAAGAAGCCCCGGCUAACUACGUGCCAGCAGCCGCGGUAAUACGUAGGGGGCAAGCGUUAUCCGGAUUCACUGGGUGUAAAGGGAGCGUAGACGGCGACGCAAGUCUGGAGUGAAAGCCCGGGGCCCAACCCCGGGACUGCUCUGGAAACUGCGGCGCUGGAGUACGGGAGGGGCAGGCGGAAUUCCUGGUGUAGCGGUGAAAUGCGUAGAUAUCAGGAGGAACACCGGCGGCGAAGGCGGCCUGCUGGACCGUGACUGACGUUGAGGCUCGAGAGCGUGGGGAGCAAACAGGAUUGGAUACCCCCGUACU
Molecule: ribosomal RNA, 449 nt
Filed under: uncultured bacterium
Lineage: Bacteria
Description: bacterial SSU rRNA
Rfam family: Bacterial small subunit ribosomal RNA
Source: RNAcentral